UACGGAGAGUUUGAUCCUGGCUCAGGACGAACGCUGGCGGCGUGCUUAACACAUGCAAGUCGAACGGUGACCUCGGAGCUUGCUCCGGGCGAUCAGUGGCGAACGGGUGAGUAACACGUGAGUAACCUGCCCCAGACUCUGGGAUAACAUCGGGAAACCGGUGCUAAUACCGGAUAUGAGACGAGACCGCAUGGUCAUCGUCUGGAAAGAUUUAUCGGUCUGGGAUGGACUCGCGGCCUAUCAGCUAGUUGGUGAGGUAAUGGCCCACCAAGGCGACGACGGGUAGCCGGCCUGAGAGGGCGACCGGCCACACUGGAACUGAGACACGGUCCAGACUCCUACGGGAGGCAGCAGUGGGGAAUAU
RNAcentral lists this ribosomal RNA (364 nucleotides) under Actinobacteria bacterium HGW-Actinobacteria-8. Its description in RNAcentral is "bacterial SSU rRNA". It matches the Rfam family "Bacterial small subunit ribosomal RNA", at positions 1 to 364 of the family's 1533-position model. Lineage: Bacteria; Bacillati; Actinomycetota. The record is from RNAcentral.